UCCAGACUCCUACGGGAGGCAGCAGUGAGGAAUAUUGGUCAAUGGGCUUACGCCUGAACCAGCCAAGUCGCGUGAGGGAAGACUGCCCUAUGGGCUGUAAACCUCUUUUGUCAGGGAGCAACGCCGGCUACGUGUAGCCGGACUGAGAGUACCUGAAGAAAAAGCAUCGGCUAACUCCGUGCCAGCAGCCGCGGUAAUACGGAGGAUGCGAGCGUUAUCCGGAUUUAUUGGGUUUAAAGGGUGCGUAGGUGGUUAAUUAAGUCAGCGGUGAAAGUUUGUGGCUCAACCAUAAAAUUGCCGUUGAAACUGGUUGACUUGAGUAUAUUUGAGGUAGGCGGAAUGCGUGGUGUAGCGGUGAAAUGCAUAGAUAUCGCGCAGAACUCCGAUUGCGAAGGCAGCAUGCCGGCGCCACACUGACGCUGAGGCACGAAAGCGUGGGUAUCGAACAGGAUUAGAUACCCUGGUAAU
This 468-nucleotide ribosomal RNA is filed under the name uncultured bacterium. Its description in RNAcentral is "bacterial SSU rRNA". It matches the Rfam family "Bacterial small subunit ribosomal RNA", at positions 330 to 794 of the family's 1533-position model. The record is from RNAcentral.